This is a long non-coding RNA of Oryctolagus cuniculus (rabbit), 2357 nucleotides long. The record is from Ensembl. Lineage: Eukaryota; Metazoa; Chordata; Mammalia; Lagomorpha; Leporidae.
AGGCAGGAAGAGAGGGAGCAAGGGAGGGAAAGAGGGAAGGAAAAGGAGAGGGAGAGGGAGGGAGAGAGGGAGGAAGGGAGGGAGGAAGGGAGGGAGAGGGAGAGGGAGGGCGGGAGAGAGGGAGGGAGAGGGAGAGAGGGAGGGAGAGGGAGAGAGGGAGGGAUCUUCCCACCUGCUGGUUCACUUCCUAAAUCUCUGCAACAGCCAGGGUUGGAUGAUGCCACAGCCAGGAGCCCGGAACUCCAUCCAGGGACCCAAGCACGUGCGUCAUCAUCUACUGCCUCCUGGGGCGCACAUUAGCAGGAAGCUGGAAGCAGAGCCAGGAUGAAACCAGGCACUCCAAGCGGUGUCUCAACCACUGAGCCAAAUGCCCGCCCAGUUUGUUCCUGUGUAAUUGUUCCGUCAGAAGUGUGAAAGCUGAAAAGAUGCGAUGUCUACAGUGUUGGCUGUAACUUCUGUUGCUGAUCAUCGGUUCCUCUUCAAUUAAGGCCUGAACAUGAAUUUGUCCUUGAGAAUUGAUGUGGAUGGUCUGUCCCUGCAGGCUUCCUUUGUCGCAUCAUUUCUUAACAUGAGUUCUCCGUUUGUAAACUGCUGGUUAUACAGGGGGGAAGUGUGGACACAGACAUGCACGCGGUCGAGAAUGCCACGUGAGGCCGAAGGCAGAGAAGGAGGUGGGGAGCUUCCAGAACCCAGAGAACACCAAGGACUGCCAGCAGCCGUGAGGGCCUAAGAGGAACACAGAACGGUCUCCUUGCUGGGCCUCAGGGAGACAACCGCUCCAACCCCUUGAUCUCACACUUCGGCCUUCGGAACGGUGAGACAGUCCAUGCCUGUGUUUCAGCCGCCGGUCUGUGGCAUUUUGUUAUGGCAGCCCCAGCCCACCAGGACACCUCCCCAGGGAUGGAGUGUGCUCAACACUCGGGACAGGAACCUUGCUCAGCUGGCAAAGCUGCGUGUCUCUUCUCUGCUUGGCAACUGGACCCACAUGUGCUGGUACAGAGCGGGGUGAAGACAGCCGGAACAACCAGAGACUCCUUCCCUCAAGACAGGCAGAGCAGACUGGAAGGCAGAGAGGGCACAGGCCCGGGUCCCACAGGGGUGGGCUGCUGUAAGCUUCCGCCUCCUGGCUUCCUGGCAGCCCCUUCUGCAGCUUCCAGGACCGCAGGCCAACAGCCAAGGCAGUCAGGGGGCAGAGAGAAGUGAUGGCGCAUCUUCCCUUUAAGAAAGAAAAUGCAUCUUAAAGCAGGGGGAGCUAAUUUGCUCUUCUAUAAUCAAUCACCCAGUGCAGAAAACAAAAACACACUCAGGCAAGCCUCCAAUAGCCGAGAGGAGACUGGAGGAGGGGGCAAGGAGGGGCGCCUACAGAGAGGACCAUUUUCCUAACUCACAUGAAUCCCAAGGGCACAGGGCACGGGCGCGCACACUUGUGUGUGGGGCGGGUGUAAGCUGGGAGUCGUGUUGAAAGCGGUGCCAAUCUCCCAGCUUCCAAGCAUCUCACCCUUGUCCUGCCUCUCCUGUCCACACACAGGCAGGAGGAGCUGCAGCUGCGGGGAAAGUGCUCUGGAUUCCUGCCUUCAGAAAGGAACCGCAUGCAAACGCCACGCGGGCAGCAAGGAGCUGAGAGUUCCCUCUGCCUUUCAGCUCAUCCCUGGCCAGUUUCUGUGCCCUUCUUGGCCUUGCUUUCCCACUCUGUAUAAGGGGGCCAUUCUCACCCUUCCUUUUCUGUCUCACCCUGCCAGAGAGAAAAAGCCACAGUGCUGAUAAAACUAGGGUGAGCUCAAUAGCAGGGGGACUUGGUGCUCUGGCUACUUCCAUCUGGGUCUUGGGUUGGGGUGAGAACAGCCUGCGCUAGUCUCCAGCGGUAGCUGUGGAAGGAGCCCCUGGGAAGGCCAAGGGCAAAAUGUACUGUUCCUAGCUCCCUUCUUGUAGCUCAGAGAGGCACCCCUCCCGGCUCUCUGCCUCACCUGCCCUGGUGUUUUUCCCUCCUCCUCUUCUUUCUCCCUCUCUCUCUUUUCUUUACCCCUCUGUCUAGCAUGCCCACAUUUUCCAAAUCAAACUUUGGGAGAAGCUGGCAAUGGGCUCAAGAAUCUGAAAUACGGGCAUCUGUGGGCGUCCUGGGGUGUUCGGUUGCCCUAGGCACCCCCUGCCCAUGUGCUUCCUCCUCGGCCCUGCAUCUGCUCUGGGUUGGACCUCCACAGCCCUAAACACCAGUUGGGGUCAAUGCAAUGCCAGCCAUCCAGAUGUUUAGAAACGUCCAGAUGACAGAUUGAACACUUGCAGUGCUACCUAUUCUCGGUGCCCUCUGGACACAAUUCAGGAAAAACAACCAGAAGAAUAAAUAAGGAAAGCCUCUGCCA